UCUUCACCAUAUAACCUACACACAACCUCACAUUUCUAUUAAGAGAGAAUGCAAAAAUGCACACACACACCACUGCCAUAUACAAGUCAUCACUCUCAUAUACUACACCUCACUGAUCCAUUAGACAACACACAUACCAGGCCACCACUGGACCUCACAAGACAAUAUACAAUACGCACAAAGCAAAAGGAGAGAUUGGAAUACCACACCCACAAUUCACUCAGGGGGGACUCCACUUUUAUUUCCCUUUUAUUCUUUUUGGGAUACCACACACAGAUCAUAAUACAAUUCAUACGCAUAGAAUUAGGGGAAAUCAGUGAAAGUGAGAAGAAAGACAGUGAAGAAAUGGGCAAAAAUAGUAGAAACUAGAGAGAGGUCAACGGAGAAGAGAGGUGACAGGUGGGGAUUGACUAUUUUUGGUGAUUCUUCAUCGAAAUAUCAUCUCCGAGCGAACCCAGCAAUAACCAACCAAAUCCGUUAGCUAUUUAGCGAUUCCGGUGAUAACCCGCCGAAAGUAGCUAUAGUUCAAAUCCUAAACAGAAAAUCCCCGUCAACACCGAUUGACCACAACCACCUCGCUCAAAACCACCCCGCCGUAAAACAACCACACGCGCACAGACAAAAAACGCAAGGGAGGAUAAUAGAAGAAAGAAAAGGGUGGUCGCUGUUGGGUUUCGAUGUCGAGUUCGAAGAGGUUUUUCAGUUGAGGUCGUUCGUUGAGGUUCUCGAUUCCGGUUACCGACUCUUCGUCAAUUUCAUAUUUCUCAACUCUGGAUUUGGGUCAUUGCGUGAAUGUCAGAAUCACAUUUUUAUUCUGUUCUGGUUCGUGAAUUGAAAUUGAAAGCCACAUUAAGGUCCAUUUCUUAUCUCAUGCUCCACUAAUAUUUAUGUUUUUGGUACUUUGUGGGUUGAAUUUGUGGUGUUUGAACUUUAUUUUAGUUGAUAUUAAUUGAUUGAUCGAUUGGAUGAAUUAGUUAAUUAAAUGAAUCGGGCUCAAUUUAAGGUGAAUAUUGAUUUUGGGACGGUAUUGAAAAUUGUCUGGUUGGAAAUUUCAUUUGGUUUAUUUAGAUUGUUAAUUUUGAUUCAUUGAUGAUGUUAACAUGAUAGUAUUAUGAUUAGGCCAAAGCGGAUAGGCAAAUUGUAGGUCGGGUAAGCAGACGGUAGGAAUUAUGAUUGUUGAAUGCUUGAAUGAUUUUAUUUUAUCGCAUUGAAAAGAUGUAUUAAUUUAGCCUGGGAAUGCCCCGAAGAUCAUUGUAUUUACUCAUCGGGGAAUUCCCUGAAGGAUUUUGUAUGCGAAAAUGCUUGUGAUCAAGGCCCGAGGCAUCGGGUAGAGCAGAGUUUAGGUUAGCAUAGAUUUAUAUUUUUGCAUUUUUUAUUUUGGGCUGUAUAAUUGGACUGGACAUUAAAUUUUGGAUUGUUUCUUUUGUUUGUUGAUUGAUUAUUUUGCAUGCUUUUUGUGUGUUUUAUACAUUUCAUAGUGCCAAAUUAGCCGAUACGCUCCACCAAGUGAUCGUGGUCAAACCACGGGACCGAGGGGUGCCUAACACCUUCACCUUGGUCAACAGAAUUCCUUAGCUGGAAUCUCUGUUCGGAAACCAGUGUUUUAGAGUCAAAAACAAUUUUGAAAAAGGAUUUCCAAAGGUGAUUUGGCAUACCGGAUUAUGACAAGUGGCGACUCUGAAUAAAAAAUAUAAAUAAUUCUUUUCGAAAUAAAUUUUCAUCUUUUGUCAUUUUAACAAUAAAAACCUUUUCGAACCUUAAAAAUAAAAUCUUUUUAGUUAAAAAAGGGGUGUGACUGCUCUGGCGACUCUGCUGGGGAUCAUUUCAGAAUUCGAGCUUAUAUUUUGGAGUUGUAGCGGCUUAGUUUGGCAUUAUGGGUGUAUAGACAUUGUUUGUGUUGUUUUGUGUUAUUGUUUUGUUUUUCAUUGUUGAAUGCCUGCGUGCUCUUUGUUUACAGUUUUUAUCUAUGUGUUACCACUUUAUAUCUGGCAUCAUGUGCAUAACCCGAGUCAGUUUUUCUACAAUAAGUCCGUAGUGCACAAUGUGUACACGACCUCUAGUUGAGUCACCCUUAUCUUAGAAGAGCGAUUCGUCAGCUGGUAUGGAGUGGGUGGAAAGCUAAAGCAGCCACUAUCGACCAUACGCUCCCUUGAACAACCUUGUUAGUGAACCCCAACGUAGGUAAGCCUUAGGUCAUGCUUAUCUGCAUCAUAUUGAGACCUAGCGGGACCCACUUGGUCCUUUGUAGGAAACUCACCUCUAAGGCAUCCCUACGUACUAAAUGUUGCAUCUUUGAGGGUAACGAGGUCAUUUGACAAACUGAUUUGGGCCAAAGCAUGAGUUAGAAGCAAAAUGUGUAGGCAAGAAAUUGUUGAAAAAAGGGAAGAAAAAAAAAGACAGAAAAAAAAGAGAUUUGAUAUUUUUUAGGGUUAUUUAUGACUUUUUUUUUUCACAAUUUACAAAAAAAAUAUUUUUUUACUUUUUGCACUCAUUUCCCCAAAAAUUAAAAACGUUAAAAAAUUUUCUUUUAUUUCUUUAGUAAGUAUUCACAAUUCGAAAAAUCCAAAAAAAUAUUUUAUUCCUUUUAAUAGGAGCUUUGUACAUUUUUAUAUAAUGAAAAUAUCAAAAAGAUUUUUUCUUUCAUAGUUGUUGGUGUUAGUUUCUAAUUAAAAACCCAAAAAAGAUUUUAUUCGUCUGUCUUUAGUCGUGUCUCUUAAUUCAGAGUUUAGUUUGUCAUUUAAUCCUUACUUGUCCAAUCUGGACGAACUACGCACCCCUGAUUUUCCUCUCCCGGAAGUGAGAUACGUAGGCAGCCUAUUGUGGGUCGGGGAUCUUAUUUGAAAAAAAAAAAAAGAUUUUCUCCACUCUUUAUUAGAGUAGGUGUUUCAUAUACAUCUUUAAAAGAAAACUACAAAAAAGAUUUUUCCUUUAAUAGAUUCAAGUUUCAUUUUCAUAUGAAAUUCAAAAUAAAAAAUUCAAAAAGAUUUUUCUUUGGUAAUCAUAUGUUUAAUUUUGUAUAGGGAGUUUAAACUUGAAAAAUGCAAAAAAAUAUUUCAUCAAUUCUUUUGACAAUUUGUUAUUUCCUUUUCUUUUUAAAGUUUCAAGAAAAAGAAAAAAAAAUUAAUUGGCCAUUUUGGCAAGACUUCACGAACUACGCACACCUGAUUCUCCUCUUUCGGGGUGAGAUACGUAGGCGCCCCUCUUGGGUUCGGUGACCUUUUAAAAAAGAAACAAAAAAAGGUUUUGAAAAAAAAAAUGUUGAAUUUUAACGCAUUUGCUAUCUCUUGUUCAGUUAGUUUAAGGUGGUUGGUUUGUGGCAUUUUGGCUGUUCCUCCAUAUUGCACCAAGUCACAGAGAAAGUUAUGGCCAACAAAGAUAUCGAGUUUGUUGUCACUGAUCAGAUAGGGAGUUCGGGCAAUGAGAAUUUAGGAGCUAAUGAAGAGAUUCGAAAAUUAAGGCAACAAAUGAUAGAAAUGCAUUUCCUGCUGGUAAUCUGGAAUAUCUUUCUAGCUUGCCUCCAGUGUCACAUACACAGUUUCUUAUUUCUUUUGACACACCACAACAUGCAUCAAGACCUGCUUUGGGGCAACACUAUCCAAACACUUCCAAUAUUCAUUUCCUCACUCCUUAACACAAAGCUACCACAUGCUCGGCUCCACCCACUGUUCAUGUUUUUGCAGCACCACCCCUACCCGAAGCUCCUACUUUUGAGGUUUAUCCAUAAGUUUGCCUCCCCACUCUGCGAGAGAGCCUUUAUUGAAUAUUUCUUCUUAUCAAUAUGAUGCUAUUAAGCCCACAUUUAAGUCGACUAAUCCUUAUGGCUAUACUCACCCGCCUGAAUUUCCUCUUAACAUUGAGAAGCCUGUUAUAACAGAAAAACAAAAGAAAAUGACCAGAAAAUUAAGAAGUUUGGAACUGGCUUGAAAGACCUCCAGGGACUUGGGGGUACAAAAGUGUCUCAUAUAAAGAUCUGUCUAUGUUUCUAGGGGUUCAUCUUCCUUUUGAUUUUAAAAUGCCAAAGUUUGAGAAGUAUGAUGGACAUGGCAAUCCUGUUGCACAUUUGAGACAUUAUUGCAACCAACUAAGGGGCACUGGGGGGAAGAAAUAAUUACUCAUGGCAUAUUUUGGUGAGAGUCUUUCAGGCCUAGCUUCAGAAUGGUUUGUUGACCAAGACAUCGACAAGUGGAUUAGUUGGGAUGACCUAGCUAAUGAAUUUGUGUAAUAAUUCCAAUACAAUGUGGAUUUGAUUCCUGAUGAGAAAUACCUAACUAACAUGAAGAAAAAGAGUACUGAGACUUUCAGAGAGUAUGCGAUUAGAUGGCGUGAACAAGCUGCUAGGGUGAAACCGUCAAUGAAAGAAAGUAAGAUAGUGGAGGUAUUUAGUCAAGCGCAGGAUGAAACAUAUUAUCAACACUUGUUACCUGCAUUAGGCAAGCCAUUUAUUAAGGUACUCAAAAUGGGGGAGAUGAUAGAAGAUGGAAUUAAAACCGGCCGCAUUGUGAGUUUUGCAACAUUGAAAGCGACUACUCAAGCAAUUCAAAAAGUUUUGGGAAGUGUCGGAGGGAAGGAGUAUAAGGAAGAUGCAUCUGCCAUUGUAGUUGGACAACAGGACCAUACUAUUAUUACCCACAAGCUCAAACCCAAGUUUAUGCCCAAACUCCACAAAAUCUUUCCCAAAAUCCAUUAUAUUCCAUUCCCCCACCUCCAUAUCAAGUGUAUAAUGCACAACCAUAUGUUCAACCUCCAUCUUACCCACACUGGCGUGUGCCAACUCUGUCGAGUCAUCCUCUAACUCCACAUACAUACCGAAGCCCUUCUAGGCCUGGUUUUCAAUUUAAGCCAAACGAUGAAAUAUAAUUUCGAUAGUCAAUUAAUUUUUUUAUGUUGACAUAUUAUUUUAUGUCUCUUUUACCUUUUUUUUUAUGAAAUAUUAUCAUUUUUUCAAUGCUUAGACGAUCAUAAUAAUUAAUUAGUGGUGAUAUAGUAAAACCACGGUAAAAGCAGUGAAACACACAUGUCUUAAGUGACUUGUAAUAACUAAUUAGAAGCGACAUAGCAAAAUUAUUAUAAAAAAUAUUUGUAUAAUAAUUAAUUAACGAUAGUACACUAAAAUUACGAUUGAAACAAUUGAAACAAUCAUAAAUGUCUAUUUUAUUUUUUUUCUAAUUAAAUAUUAUUAAUUUUUUAAUAUGUAAAUAACUUAUAAAAUCUAAUUUGGAAUACAAUAAUUAAUUAGGGAUGGUAUAGUAAAAUUACAUUGAAGAAGCUGAAGCAGACAUAUCAUAAAUGUCUAUUUUAAUUUUUUAUUAAAUAUUAUUAAUUUUCUAAUACAUAAAUAAUUUAUAAUAAUUAAUUAGGGGUGAUAUAAUAAAAUUGCAGUUCAAUUAGCUGAAGCAGACAUGUCAACCUCGUGCUUGCUUUGUUGAUACAGUAAAAUUAUGAUUGAAGCAGCUGAACCAGUCAUAAAUGUCUAUUUUACCUUUUUAUCUAAUUAAAUAUUAUUAAAUUUUGAAUACAUAGAUAACUUAUAAUAUUUAAUUAGGGAUACAAUAAUUAAUUAGGGGUGAUAUAGUAAAAUUACGGUUGAAGCUCAGAAGCAGACAUGUCAUAAAUGUCUAUUUUAAAUUUUUUAUUAAAUAUUAUUAAUUUUCUAAUAUAUAAAUAACUUAUAAUAAUUAAUUAGGGAUGAUAUAGUAAAAUUAUAGUUGAAGCAGCUGAAACAGGCAUGUCGACCUCCUGCCUACUUAUCUCGCUCUUAUAAUAUAAGAGAACUAGAUACCGAGGGCCCGUGCAAUAUAAAUUAUUAUUUUGCUUCAAUUUAUGUGACACGAAUAAAAUUUAGAUAAUUAAUUACAUUUUUAAUAUGUUUUUAGAUAUUUUAAGUUGUUAACUAUUGUAAUUUUUAGUACUUUUUUUACGUAAUUUUCAAAAAAUAUAUGCUACUCUCCUUGUGCAAUCUUUUGUGGCAUUGAUAGUCAAUUAUAUUUUAAAAAUAAUUUAAUUUUUAAAUUAUUGUGAUUUAUAAUAAUUUUUCGUCCAUUCUACUAAUUAGAAGUGACAUACUAAAAUUAUCAUUUUAUAUCUAUUUUUUACUAUGUAUUAUUAAUCUUUUAAAUACUUGGAUGACUUAUAAUAAUUAAUUAUGGGUGAUAUAGUAAAAUCACGAUUGAAACAGUUAAAACAAACAUGCUAAAAAUAUUUAUUUUACUUGUUGUAUUAAAUAUUAUUAAUUUUCUAAUAUGUAGAUGAUUUAUAAUAAUUGGUUAGCGGCGAUACAGUAAAAUUACUAUUGAAGUAGCUGAAACAGGCAUGUUGAUCUGCUACCUGCUUCAGCUGAUGAACUGCCUUUAUCAAAAUUACUUUAAAGAACUAUCUGUGAAAAAAUUUAAGAAGGUCUCAUAUAAGUCGUCAAGUUAAUUUAAAACAUCAAGAGUUAAUUUUUAGUUUGUGUCUAUUUUACCUUUCUAUUAAAUAUUAUUAAUUUUUUAAUGCUUAGAUGAUUUAUAAUAAUUAAUUAAGGGUGAUAUAGUAAAAUUAUGGUUAAAGCAGCUGAAGCAAACAUGUCAUAAAUAUCUAUUUUAUUUUUUCUAAUUAAAUAUUAUUAAUUUUUUACUAUGUAAAUGGCUUAUAAUAUUUAUUCAUGAAUAUAAUAUUAAUUAGGUGUGCUAUAGUAAAAUUACGAUUGAAGCAGCUGAAACAAACACGUCAUAAAUAUUUAUUUUAUUUUUAUUAAAUAUUAUUAAUAUUCUAAUACAUAAACAACUUAUAAUAAUUAAUUAUGGGUGAUAUCGUAAAUUUACAAUUGAAGCAGCUGAAGCAGGCAUGUCGACCUUUUGCCUGCUUCAACUGCUAAACGACCUUUUAUAAAUAAGAGAAAAGAUAAGAGAUUUUACUUAUUUGUAUUAAAUAUUAUUAAUUUUUUAAUACGUAAAUAACUUAUAAUAAUUAAUUAGGGGUGAUGCAAUAAAAAUACGAUUUAAGUAGCUGAAGCAGGCAUGUCGACCUGCUGCCAGCUUCACUGCUUCUUAUAAAUAAGAGAAUAUAUUUUGGCACUAUAUAUACAUUUCUUAUCCUUUUUCUUUUGGGUAUCCAUCAGUGGCGGAGCUAGAAUUUUCACCAAAGGGGUUCACAAGUGAACAUACGAACUAAUCGAAGGGGGUUCGACAUUUACUAUAUAUACAUAAAAAAUAAUUUUAAUCAUAUUUAUUUAAUAUAAUUUUUCAUCAAAGGGGGUUCGGAUGAACCCCUAAAUUAAGCAUAGCUCCGCCCCUUGUAUCCAUCUUUCACUGUUUUGUACUGCUCUUUCGUGCAUUUUUUAUCAUCAAUAAACAUAUUUGCUGACAAAGAUAUGUGUGAUUUGAUUUUCUAGUAGUCUUAUUUAGUAAAAUUUUUUUUUUCGUAUUUUGUAUUAAUUUUUUGAUCUCACCUAUGAGAUUAUACUAAAUUUAUUUUUAUUUUUAUCAUAUAACAAUUUAACUUCUAAGUAGGAGCACAACAUGUGCGAUAUUAACUUACUUUUUUACGGUUAUUAUUCAUAAUGUAUUAAUUUUUGUGUUGAAAUGAAGACAAAAAAUGUCAAUGAAGCAUUGAGGAGAAGAACAAAGGGACCACUUGACAUGAAUAUAUUUUUUGAAAUAUAUUUUUCUGUUUUCUCUAAAUAGUUUAAAUUUCUACACUAUUUGUUUACUUUUCUUUGUCGCUAUACUAUAAAUAAAUUAAGAGAUAGUUUAUAAUUUAUUUUUAAAUUUAUCUUUAUUGUUAAUUUUAAUUAUUUUCAAAAUAUUAAAUUCAUUGUAUUCAAAGGACAAUAAAAAUAUAUAAUAAAAUUAUCAUUCAAUUUAUUGCUUCUUAGAAGAUAUGUCAAGUCAAUAUUAGACAAACAAAAAUAAAUGGAGAAAGUAUUCUUUAAAUUUGACUUGCGAAAGAAAACAACAUUUGAUGUCGUCUCUUUCACCCCAUGUAAGGUAUCUAAUUUUCUUAUUAUUUGAAUAUUUUGAUGUUUUGAUUUGUUAAUUUGUGAUUUUAGGAACAAGAGAGUUAGGGCUUUGGGUGAAGUCAGUCAAUUAACUCAUUCUCUUAGAUUACAUUUUAGAAAUAUUAAAAAAAUUGUGUGAAGAGUUAGAAAGAAUUAUUUCAUGUACCUAAUAAGAUAGUUAGAAUAGCGCGAAACGCGGACCAUUUCAAUAUUAUUGUUAUAAAUUAAUCUCUAUAAAUGAAUGAUCUUUAGGGAGUAGUUGGUAUUUAGAAACUAAAAAGGCAAAAUAUCUAUUGAUCCUUGUAGUUGUCCGAGUUUGUGACGUGAACAUUUCUACUUAGUCUUUUAUCACCUGAAUUUUAAACUCAACAAAUCAUAAUAUUUUAAACUAAUCUGAUCAUUGACUAAGCCUAGGUGAAAACUUAACGGAUGAAUUGAAAAAAAUGCAUAAUUUUGCGUAGGUUGAACGCAUAUACAUAUAAUUUUUAAUUAAAAAUAACAAAAAUUAAUAAAUAAAUAAAUAGAAUUUCUUUCUUUCUUUGCACCACCCACGGUACUCCCAGUCUCCCACCCCUUUAUUUUCCCCAUUUUUACCACCAACACCAUACCCCUUGCCCUCCAUUUUCCUGCUAUUACCCCUCCAUCACCCACCUGGACAUCUUCCCCCUCACCACUAAAUAUUGAUAGAUAUUUUAAAAAUAAUUAAUUAAGCGUUUUAAAAUUACUUUGUGACAAAAAAAAAUAUGAAAUCCACCUGUCCACUUAGCAAAUUCAUGCCCAAGUAUUUUACUUGAUGACAAAGAAAAUAAAAGAAAAAAAGGUGUGUAUAUUCUGCCCAAAGAAAUACUUUGAUUUUCAUUACUAUUAUCGCUCUACAUUGCUAUUAAUAGCCAAUACCUUUUAUUCUAUUAUCGCUCACAGUUAGAAUCGCUAGACACAUGGGCUUAUUAUAAGUAUGUAUUAGUAUUCUGAUGGGCCCUUUGUUCGGCUAAAGAUUCCAUACAGUCAUUUAGCUAUUUGAAAAUUCUUUUAUAUUUUGGUUGGUGCUUUGGUUCGAUUUUCUGACUAUGCUUUCCUAUAUUAAUUAAGAGGUCUGGACGGCUGAGCGGCUUACCCCAGCCUGAUAGGUCCUAUCAAAUUGGUAUCAGAGCCUAGGAACUUUCAUAGUAAUUAUAUAGUAGAUCUGAAGUCUAUGACAUAGAUAUGAAGUUUUAUAUAAAUGGAUAUGGGAGAAGUUAGUACGAAAAGUACUAAACUAGAAGAGGUAGGACUUAUUAAAUAAAUGAACUAUUCCACAAGUAGAUAUAAAAAUCAUUUAUGAUUAUGGCUUUCUUGAUAGAUUUAAAUAUAAGCAGAUAAUAAAAACCACUGAACAAUCUAUUGCUCUGAAUGCUGACGAACAAACCAUAAAAUUAUUGAAUAAAAAAGAUAUUGAUAUAUUUAAAAAUCAUUAUAAUUUUAUGCAUAUUGGUUUAGUGCAAAUUUCUUUUAAACCGCUAACCUUAAAAGGUCUUCCAAAGACAUUUCUAGUUGCAUUACGUGAUGCUAAAAAUUUAAAUUUCAAACAAUCUCUGAUGGAAUCUAUAGAAUCUACUCUUGCAUAUGGCCCUGUAUAUUUUAACACUCAGCCAAAUUUACAACUAUCUUUGACUGAUAUGCAUAUUCUCGAUGCUUUAAUUUUAAAUGUGAAAACUCAUGGCUAAAAUUAUGCGCCUGGAUCUGAACUUAUAUGUUUGUCUUAUUAUAUUUAUUAUCGUUUAUUAUCUACUUUAAAUCCUCGAUGUAAGUUAAUCAAAGAUGCUUCUAAUUCUACUAUGCUUAUCGAAACCAAUUUUGCAAAAUCCAAGGUCACUACAAGGAGACUUAUUAGAUGGGAUGAGAUUAAUUUCCCAAAAACUUGGGUUUUAAAUUCAGUCAUUUCUCCAAAAAAACUUUCGGAGGAUGUGACAAAUUCAGAGUUAGCUCAUGUAACUCAAAAUACAGACGACAGAAUUUGUCUCCAAUUUAACGAUAAUUCUACCGUUUAUAAUCGAAAUUCCUUUUCUAUACCAAGAAUGUUACAUGCUAUGCAUCAUAUCUCACCAGUUGAACCAGUAUAUGGUCCUUCUAGAAGUCGUGCUGCAUCUUUGCAUACUAUAAAUUCUGCAGAUUCACAUACUCUAUUUAAAAAUAUUGAAAAAAUUAAAAUCAAUCCUAAAACAAAUAUAGUUCAAGAUAAUGAUAAUAUCCCAGAUAGGGAUAAUCCCACUCCCUCUGAAAUGGAGUUUGAUGUCAAUUCUUGUUAAUCAUGAUUCCACAUCUAAUUAUUUUAGUCCUGGUUCACCAGCCAGAAAUUAUAUUAAAAUAGAUUUUUUUCUGAAAAAUGGAAAACGUUUAGGACAUGAUUUUUUGAAACCUAUAGUUCUGAUGAAUUAAAAAAAAUUUCUGAAGAAUUUUAUGAAAUUUGUCCAUUGCAUAAUCAAAUUGUUUACUUUGUGCCAUGGUAUAUGUCUGCGUAUUUGCCUUUAUAUGAAAAAAUUAUUGAAAGGUCAUAUCAAAAUGCCGAUGGUACUGUAACUCAGACUAUUUAUCCCCCUCAAUAAUCUUUCAUAUUAUCCAAUAAUACUGGUAUAACCUUCUCUGCUUUUCAAAAAUUCGUUGAUAAUGAAGUUGGAAAAAUCACUAUUUCUGAAAUAAAUAGUUUAAUUACUCAAAAUAAUUAUUUAAGCCUUUAUGUGAAAGUUCUUGGAGAACAUAUUUCCUCUCUUGAUAAAAAGCUAGAUAUCAUGACUGAUUUGAUUAAGAAGCUAAGCGAUAGUCAAAAGUUAUCUGAUAUUGCUUCUACCUUAGAAAGCAAAAUAGAAGAUUUGACAGCUAAGCCUCAUAUUCAAAGACCUCCUGAUAUUCAAGGAUUUCGAAAACCCACUGAUUUAGAACAACUUGAAAAACUUCUUGAAAAGAAAUUUUCUAGUUUAAAUAUAAAACCCAUGGAUCUGUCUAAUAGUUUUGCUGAUUCUAUUCAAUCUAUUUCCAGUAAUUUUGAGGAUAUACAAUCCACUCCAAUCUCUAAGAUAGGAGCAGAAAUUCACUCAGAGUUAAAUAAACUCAGAGGAAUGGUGAGAAAACAAUCGGGGACAAAAUAUGCUGAUAUUCCCCAUAUGCAAACUGCCUAUUAUCCAAGACCAAAUCCUCAAGAUGUUCUGGUAGAAGAAAGAGAUUGGUUUUUAACAAACACGUUUUAUAGUGGAGAACAUAUAUAGGAAUGGAACUUAGAUGGAUUAACUGAAAGACAUUUAUCUAUUUUAGUCUAUUAAAUGUUAAUGUAUUCUAUUAUUGCAAAAGUAUCUAGUCCUAAAGAUGACGAUGGUGAGCCUGUUAGGACGGAUGCUACUAUAUGUAAAAUGAUUGUUGCAGGUUUUACUAGCCAACUUCGUGGCUGGUGGGACUAUUUCCUUUCAAAUGAAGAAAGAAACAAAAUUUUUGAAGCCAAAAAUCUGUUGCUUGGUGUUGAUAACCUAGGUAGAAAAUUGCCAGCGGGUAUAGAAGACGCUGUUUACAUCCUUAUGCUUACUAUUAUUCAACACUUUGGAGGUAGAUUUACCAAUCAAUAUGAAAAUACUCGCACCUUCUUAAAUGGUCUUAGAUAUCGAUAUUUAGGGAAAUUUAGAUGGUAUAAAGAUACUUUCCUUGCUAGGGAUAUGGAUUUACCCGAAUCUAGAUUAGAACACUGGAAAGUAAGAUUCGUAGAUGGACUUCCUCCUCUGUUUGCUGAAAGGGUAAGAAAAUCUAUUAAAGGACAAUAUGGUGCAAUUCCUUGGACAGAUUUUACUUAUGGCUAGCUUCUAGUAGCUUGUACCAAAGAAGGACUAAAAAUUUAUAAUGAGUUGAAACUGUCUAGACAAAUUAAGAUAGAUAGGAUCAAAGAAAGAACCCAACAAGGAGACUUUUGUGGUCAAUUUGGAAUGGAAAAUCCUAUCUCUAGCAAAAGAGGCCAUAGAACUAGUAACCCAGAAAAACCUCAUAGAAAAAGAAGGUAUAGAAACAAAUCUAAAGAAGAGUGUGAAGCCAGAAAAUCCCAUCUUAUGUCGACUAGAUUUACGAAAAAUAGGUCCAAAAGUGAUCUAGCAAAAAUCAAGUGUUAUAAGUGUAAGCAAUUUGGUCAUAUUGCUCCAAAUUGUAAGCUCCAAAAACUUAAGUCUCUAGAACUCUCUGAAGACAUGCAUGAUAAAAUUUAUGAUUUAUUAUAUACUUCAGGUUCUGAGUCUAAUUAUGAAUAUGAAUCUGAGAAUAUUAUUGAAUUACCUGAUUCCACGGAUAGUGAGAAUUAUGAAAAAACCUGAGGCUAAUGCCUGCACAGAUUUCUCUAACAAUGUUUUUGAUUGUAAAAAUAUUUUUUAUAAAUUACAAUCCCCGUUUGAAGAUUUAGAUUUAAACGUUCAAACAAUUACUGCUAAUAGUGCUUUAGAACUAUUGAAAGAAGUUAUUGAUGAAAAACUUCGCCAAAAAAAUAUUGAUCUUGCUUCCUCACAACCUAGCACUUUAAAGCCUGCUAAUAAUAAAGUUAUUAAGUAAAAAUAAAAAAAUUCUGAUUCUGUUAUUGAUAUGAUGCCCUAUUCUCUAACUGAAGUUAAUAGACUUCUUGGCAUUAGUCAAACUCCUGGUACAUAUACGUCUUUUAACGAUUUAAAAAUAGAAGUUGAAAACCUGAAAAAAGAGAUUAUUUUUUUAAGACAAAAUCAAAUAAUUUUAGAUCAUAGAAUUUCGAAAAUUGAAAAAAAUAUUUUCUAAAAUGACAUUGUUUCCAAUUUUAAAGGAAAAGAAAAGGUUGCUGAAAAUUCUGAAAAUUAUAUUGUUCGUGAUAUGGAUGUAAAAAAUGAUUAUUUUUUGUGUAUGAUGCAAAUAGUUAAUGCCCAUAAAUGGUAUAUAAAUUGUACUAUAUUGAUUAAUAACGAAUUUUCUGUAACUAAUGUGGCUAUGAUUGAUAGUGGUGCUGAUGUUAGCUGCAUUCAAGAAGGAUUAAUUCCAACCAGAUAUUUAAAAAAAAAAUGCAUAUUGUUAGAUCUGCCUCUGGUCAUUCCCUGGAUAUUAACUAUAAAUUGCCGCAUGCGUAUAUUUGUAGAAAUAAGGUUUGCAUUCCACAUUUCUUUUUUCUAGUCAAAAAUCAAUUAUAUCCCCCUAUUAUUUUAGGAACACCUUUUAUAAAUGCUAUUUAUCCCUACACACAUAUUGAAGCUAAAGGCUUCAAAGCCACCUAUAAAAAUCAAGAAAUUUCUUAUCCUUUUGUUACAGAUCCAGUAACACGAGACAUAAAUGCUUUGAUUGAUAUGAAGCAAAAACAUGUGAAUCUUUUAUAGCUUGAAAUGAUGAGUACUAAUAUUUAUAAUACAAUGAAUUCUGCAAAAAUUUAGGAAAAAAUCAAAUUGGCAUCUACUCAACUGAUUGUUGAUAUUUGUGCUGGUCACCCAAAUGCUCUUUGGACUCGCAAAGAGCAUAUUGUUUCUCUUCCUUAUGAAGAUGAUUUCAGAGAAGAUCAUAUUCUGACAAAAUUCAAAUCCUGUAAAAUGAAUACAGAGUUAGUAGGAUUCUGUAAAAAAGAGAUAGAAGGUCUCCUACAAAAGGGUCUCAUAAAACCCUCAAAAUCCCCUUAGUCUUGUACUGCUUUAUUUGUCAAUAAUGCUGCUGAAAAAGAACGAGGUACGCCAAGAUUAGUAAUUAAUUAUAAACCUCUGAAUAAAGUUUUAAAAUGGAUUAGGUAUCCAAUACCUAAUAAAAAAGACUUACUAUCUAGAUUAUAUGAUGCCAAUAUAUUUUCAAAAUUUGAUCAAAAAUCUGGUUAUUGGCAAAUUCAAAUUGAUAAAAGGCAUACUUAUAAAACUGCCAUUAAUGUCCCUUUUGGACAAAUUGAUUUAAAAAAUGCUCCUUCUGAAUUUCAAAAAAUCAUGAAUGAUAUAUUUAAUGCCGAUAUGGAUUUUAUAAUUGUAUAUAUUGAUGAUAUCCUUGUGUUUUCAGAAACAAUAGAAUUACAUUCUAAACAUCUGAAUAUUUUCAAACAAAUUGUGAUACAAAAUGGUUUGGUUAUUUCUAAACCAAAAAUGUGUUUGUUCCAAACAAAUGUUCGAUUUUUAGGACAUAAUAUUUGUAAAGGAACAAUUGAGCCUAUACAAUGAGCUAUGGACUUUGCUGAAAAAAUUUCUGAUAUUAUUACUGAUAACUCAGUUGCAGCGAUUUCUAGGAAGUCUUAACUAUAUUUCUCCCUUUUAUUAGAAUCUAUCUAAAGAUUUAGAUCCUUUAUAUGAUAGGUUAAAAAAAUAUCACAAAAAGCGUUGGACUCAAGUCCACACCGAUCUGCUAAGAUUAAUAAAAAAAUGUGUUGCGACUCUGCCUUGUUUAACCUUAGCUAAUCCAGCUUGGUUAAAAAUAGUUAAAACUGAUGCUUUAAAUAUUGGUUAUGGAGGAAUACUUAAACAAAUUAAUCCCUAUAAUAAUGUUGAAUGUUUGGUUAGAUUUCAUUCUGGAAAAUGGUCUGAAAGUCAGGAAAAAUACGCCACUGUGGCCCAUGAAAUGUUAACUAUUGUUAAAUAUGUUUUAUAAUUCCAAGAUGAUUUAUAUAAUCAAAAAUUAAUAGUUCGAACAGAUGCUCAAUCUGUUUAGUACAUGUUCGUCAAAGAUUUUAAACAUGAUGCCUCUAAAUUGAUAUUUGUAAGAUGGCAAGCCCAGCUAGCCCCUUUAGAUUUCAAAAUUCAAUACAAGAAAUGUAGUAAAAAUUCUUUGCCUGAUUUCCUAUCUAUGGAAUACUUAAAUAAUUAAAUGAAUUAUUACACAUACUUUUUUUCUGAAAAAACAAUAAUUACUAUUAUAAAAUGCAUUCCUCUAAAUGAAGAUAUUCAUUUUAUCAUAUUAGAAAAACUUAUCCAUAAUAUGAUAGAAGAAGAUUUAUUUCUUUCCAAUUUUGAAGAUAUACUAGAUGAAAUUGAUUGGUCUGAUAUUGACUCAUCAUUUGAUAAAUUCUAAUCUACUUAAUGCAGAAUACUCCUCUUCCAGGGGAAGAAACUCCCCCUCAUCAUCAUAUGCUUCUUCAUCAUCUAAUUUUCCAGUAUUGCAAAGGGGAAAUAUAAGUCUGAUUAAUGCAAGAAUUCUGCAAAUUGCAGAAUCAUCUUCUAAAACUCCGCAUAUGAGCACUUCAAUCCAUUUGAACGAGAUUCCAUAGGAUCAUCGUUUAUUUGAGCAACUACGAUCUUUUAUAUCUUCCAAGCAAGCCGAUUCGUUUACUUUAGUUGCCAAAGAAAACACUGCCGAUAGGCAAAAUUAUGAAAAACUUGAAAAUCGAGAGCUAAUAGUUCACGUAGAAAAUUCUCAAAUAUGUAAAAAAAAUGAUCCAUGGAAACUCCUUCAAAAAUAUUUAUUAACUGACCUCUAUUUUGCAGGAGAAUCUAACAAGACAAGAGCCUUUUAUGAAUCAAUACUAGUGGCUACUGGAAGUAUUGAAAUAGAACACCAUCAAAUGGGUGAAACAACUCCAGAUGUUCAUGGAUACUCCAAGAUGGUCAUUAAAAAACUCAUAUCAAUAGAAGAUUGGGGAACCACUUCCAUGACAAAAAAAUUCAUGACAAUGAAAGGAUAAAAAAUCGCCUUAACUUAUUGGGACUAUAUGAAAGCCUUUACCCAAACCUUAUAUUAUAACAAUAUUAAACAUAAAAAUACUUGGUUUCUAAAGUUUUUUUCUAAAGUCUUUGAAGACCCAAUUCCCAAUUGGUUUAUUCAAUGGUGGUUGUAUCAUGGCCCUAUAGUAAAAAUUCUGCUAGUAGAAUAUUUGCAUCUGUACAAAGAAUGGAUUAAAGUGUCACCAUUUCUAACAGACUUAUAUUAUUCAGAUCAUGUCUGUAAUCUAGAUAAAAUUGACCAAAUGUAUUUCUUUAUAGAAUUAUCCAUUCCAUGGAUAUAUAAAUGGAGUGUUGAAUUCAGAUACAUGAAAGAACAAAUACCCGGAUUUUAUAGGGUAUUCUACACCAAUUUUUGGGAAAAGCUAACAAGAAAUGACCCUCUCACUAAGCUCUUGCAUGGACGAGAAUUUGUCGAAUCCAUUAAUCAGAAGAUCGUCGGAUCCACCACUGCUCCACAAAAAAUAUUGUGGAAGAUAAAAACCUAAGUUACAUUUCUAGAAGAAUCUCUAUACAUGACAAAGACAGAUUAGAAAUGAUUGAAAAAUACUUAAAAGAAGUUCAAAAAAAUUUGAUGAAAACUGUGGAACAAUGUUCGGAUACUUCCAUAAAGAGUCUUACGAGUGAAGAAGCAGCUGAAUCUGAAGAUAUUCAAGAAUCCCAGCCACUUCCUCCUGAAAAUAUUCUUAAUGAUAAAGAAAUUGAAAGAGCUUAGGCCUUACUCUAUCAACUAAAAAGCAAAGGAAAAGACAAGAUAUGAUAGGUUUUCUAUGGUUGUUUUCUAUGUAUAGGACCCAUAUAUGGGACCCUUAAAUAAUAAAAAUACUAUGCGCAGGGACCUACUAGUACUGUGCAAGAUGCUUUUUAUUUCUAUAUAUAUAGACGCCUCAUCUGUUAUAAGCUAGAAAAAUUUUCUCUCUUUCAAUUUUCUCUCUCUAAGUCUCCUCUUCUUUCUUUCUUCCCUUCUUGUAUAAUAUUUCAAGUCUUUAAUAAAAGAAGGCAGCUAGCCGGCAUUUACUAUUCAGGCCUUGCAUCCGUCCAUUAUUAAGGUAUUUAUUUAUUUUCUUUUAAAGUACUUCUAAUAGUUUUUCUUUCCUUCCAGCCGUGACUAUGUCCGGAUAAAAACCUUUCAUAUCUAUGCCAGAGAUCUAACUUCUCUUACUUAGUAUUUAUGAAAGAUCUAGCCUCUAUCAAAAUAUGAAAGAAUUUUUAUAUAGUUUCUUGACUUGGUUCUGAAAUGGUUGGUACAGUCGAAAUUAGUCCUGCUUAUGAUGGCUUUGUCUUAAUGACUACAUCUAGCAAGCUAUGGUUUCUAAGCCUCCUAAAGAUAAAUAAAAGGGUGUUAUUUUCAAAGUUAGAAUCACUAGACACAUGGGCUCAUUAUAAGUAUGUAUUAGUAUUCUGACAGGCUCUUUGUUCAGGUGAAAGAUUCCAUACAGUCAUUUAGCUAUUUGAAAAUUCUCUUAUACUUCAGUUGGUGCUUUGGUUUGGUUAUCUGACUACGCUUUCUAAUAUUAAUUAAGAGGUCUGGACAGUUGAGCGGCUUACCCCAGCCUGAUAGGUCCAGUAGUUUUGGAGAAAUGACUGAAUUUAAAACCCAAGUUUUUGGGAAAUUAAUCUCAUCCCAUCUAAUAGGUAUCCUUGUAGUGACCUUGGAUUUUGCAAAAUUGAUUUUGAUAAGCAUAGUAGAAUUAGAAGCAUCUUCGAUUAAUUUACAUCUAGGAUUUAAAGUAGAUAAUAAAUGAUGAUAAAUACGAUAAGACAAACAUAUAAGUUCAGAUUCCCAAUUACCUGAAUCUAGAUUAGAAUACUGGAAAGCCAUAUUCGUAGAUGGACUUCCUCCUCUAUUUGCUGAAAGGGUUAGAAAAUCUAUUAAAGGACAAUAUGGUGCAAUUUCUUGGACGGAUUUCACUUAUGGCCAGCUUCUAGCAGCUUGCACCGAAGAAGGACUAAAAAUUUAUAAUGAGUUGAAACUAUCUAGACAAAUUAAGCUAGAUAGGAUCAAAGGAAGAACCCAAUUAGGAGACUUUUAUGGUCAAUUUGGAAUGAAAAAUCUUGUCUCUAGCAAAAGAUGCCAUAGAACUAGUAACCCAGAAAAAACUCAUAGAAAAAGAAGGUAUAGACACAGAUCUAAAGAAGAGUGUGAAGCCAAAAAAACCCAUCGUAAGUCUACUAGAUUUACGAAAAAUAGGUCCAAAAGAGAUCUAGCAAAAAUCAAGUGUUAUAGGUGUAAGCAAUUUGGUCAUAUUGCUCCAAAUUGUAAGCUCCAUAAAACUUAAGUCUCUAGAUCUCUCUGAAGACAUGCAUGAUAAAAUUUAUGGUUUAUUAUAUAAUCCAGGUUCUGAGUCUAAUUAUGAAUAUGAAUCUGAGAAUGAUAUUGAAUUACCUGAUUCCACGGAUAUUGCAAAUUAUGAAAAACCUGAGGUUAAUGUCUUCACGGAUUGCACUAACAAUGUUUGUGAUUGUGAAAAUACUUUUUUAUAAAUUAAAAUCCCAGUUUGAAGAUUUAGAUUUAAAUGUUCAAACAAUUACUGUUGACAGUGCUUUAGAGUUAUUGAAAGAAGUUACUAAUGAAAAACUUUGCCAAUAUCAGAUAACUUUUGACUAUUGCUUAGCUUCUUUAUCAAAUCAGUCAUGAUAUCUAGCUUUUUAUCAAGAGAAAAAAUAUGUUCUCCAAGAACUUUCACAUAAAGGAUUAAAUAAUUAUUUUGAGCAAUUAAACUAUUUAUUUCAGAAAUAGUGAUUUUUCCAACCUCAUUAACAACGAAUUUUUGAAAAGCAGAGAAGGUUAUUCCAGUAUUGUUGGGUAGUAUGAAAGCUGAUUGAGGGGGAUAAAUAGUUUGAGUUACAGUACCAUCGGCAUUUUAAUAAGACCUUUCAAUAAUUUUUACAUAUUAAGGAAAAUAUGCAGACAUAUAUCAUGGAACAAAGCAAACAUUUUGAUAUACAAUGCACACAUUUCAUAAAAUUCUUCAGAAAUAUUUUUCAAUUCAUCAUAACUAUAGGUUUCAUAAAACCAUGUCCGAACGUUUUCCAUUUUUCAGAAAAAAAUUCUCUUUUAAUACAAUUUCUGGCUGGUGAAUCAGAACUAAAAUCAAUUAGCUGUGGAAUCAUGAUUAACAAGAAUUAACAUCAAACUUCAUUUUAGAGGGAGUGGGUUUAUCCUUAUCUGGGAUAUUAUCAUUAUCUUGAACAAACCUACGUUAUAUUUCUAGAAGAAUCUCUGUACAUGACGGAUAAAAAUUAAAAAUAAUUAAAAAAUACUUGGAUGAAGUCUGAAAAAAUUUGAUGAAAGCUGUGGAACAAUGUUCAGAUACUUUCAUCAAGAGUCUUACAAGUGAAGAAGCAGCUGAAUCUGAAGAUAUUCAAGAAUCCCAGCCACUUCGUCCUGAAAAUAUUCUUAAUGAUAAAGAAAUUGAAAGAGCUGAGGCCUUACUCUAUCAACUAAAAAGCAAAGGAAAAAACAAGAUAUGAUAGGUUUACUAUGCUCGUCUUCUAUGUAUAGGACCCAUAUAUGGGACCCUUAAAUAAUAAAAACACUAUGCACAGGGACCCACCAGUACUGUGCAAGAUGCUUUUUAUUUCUAUAUAUAUAGACGCCUCAUCUGUUAGGGAGGCAUAAGCUAGAAAAAUUUUCUCUCUUUCAGUUUUCUCUCUCUAAGUCUGCUCUCCCGUCUCUCUACCCUCUUGUAUAAUAUUUCAAGAAGGCAGCUAGCCGAUAUUUACUAUUUAGGCCUUGCAUCCGGCCAUUAUUAAGGUAUUUAUUUAUUUUCUUUUAAAGUACUUCUAAUACUUCUUCUUUCCUUCCAGCAGUGACUAUGUCCAGCUAAAAACCUUUCAUACCUAAGUUUGAACCUUUAGAAACCAAGUAUGUUUUUGUUUAGUAUUGUUAUAAUAUAAGGUUUGGGUAAAGGCUUUUAUAUAGUCCCAAUAAGUGAAAGCAAUUUUCGAUCCUUUCAUUGUCAUGAAUUUUUCUGUCAUGGAAGUGGUUUCCCAGUCUUCUAUUGAUAUGAGUUUUUUAAUGAUCAUCUUGGAGUAUCCAUGAACAUCUAGAGUUAUUUCACCCAUUUGAUGGCAUUCUAUUUCAAUACUUCUAGUAGCCACUAGUAUUGAUUCAUAAAAGGCUCUUGUCUUGUAAGAUUUUCCUACAAAAUAGUGGUUAGUUAAUAAAUGUUUUUGGAGGAGUUUCCAUGAAUCAUUUUUUUUACAUAUUUGCGAAUUUUCUACGAGAACUAUUAGCUCUUGAUUUUUAAGUUUUUCAUAAUUUUGCCUAUCAACAGUGUUUUCUUUGGCAACUAAAGUAAACAAAUCAGGUUGCUUGGCAGAUGUAAAAAAUUGUAGUUGCUCAAAUAAAGGAUGAUCCUAUGGAAUCUCGUCCAAAUGGAUUGAAGUGCUCAUAUGCGGAGUUUUAGAAGAUGAAUUUGCAAUUUGCGAAAUUCUUGCAUUAAUCAGACUCAUAUUUCCCCUUUGGAAUACUAGGUAAUUGGAUGAUGAAGAAGCAUAUGAUGAUGAAGGGGAUUUUCUCCCCCUAGAAGAAGAGUAUGCUGCAUUAAGUAAAUUAGAAUUUAUCAAAUGAUGAGUCAAUAUCAGACCAAUCAAUUUCAUCCCGUAUAUCUUCAAAAUUAGGAAGAAAUAAAUCUUCUUCUAUCAUAUUUUGGAUAAGUUUUUCUAAUAUGAUAAAAUGAAUAUCUUCACUUAGAGGAAUGCAUUUUAUAAUAGUAACUUUUGUUUUUUCAGAAAAAAGGUAUGUGUAAUAAUUCAUUUAAUUAUUUAAGUAUUCCCUAGAUACGAAAUCAGGCAAAGAAUUUUCACUACCUUUCUUGUAUUGUAUUUCGAAAUCAAAAGGGGCUAGCUGGGCUUGCCAUCUUGCAAAUAUCAAUUUAGAGGCAUCAUGUUUAAAAUCUUUGUCGAACAUGUACUUAACAAAAUGAGCAUCUGUUCGAACUAUAAAUUUUUGAUUAUAUAAAUCAUCUUGGAAUUUUAAAAUACAUUUAACAAUAGUUAACAUUUCAUGGGCCACCGUGGCGUAUUUUUUUUUUGACUUUUAGACCAUUUUCCAGAAGGAAAUCUAACCAAACAUUCAACAUUAUUAUGGGGAUUAACUUGUUUAAGUAUUCCUCCAUAACCAAUAUUUGAAGCUUCAGUUUCAACUAUUUUUAACCAAGCUGGAUUAGCUAAGGUUAAACAAGGUAGAGUCGCAACAUGUUUUUUGAUUAAUCUUACCAGAUCGGUGUGGACUUGAGUCCAAGUCUUUUUGUGAUCCUUUUUAACCUAUCAUAUAAAGUAGCUAAAUCUCUAGAUAAAUUCUGAUAAAAGGGAGAAAUAUAGUUAAGACUUCCUAGAAAUCAUUGCAACUGAGUUUUAUUAGUAAUAAUAUUAAAAAAAUUUUCAGCAAAGUUCAUAGCUCGUUGUAUAGGCUCAAUUGUUCCUUUACAAGUAUUAUGUCCUAAAAAUCGAACAUUUGUUUGGAACAAACACAUUUUUAGUUUAGAAAUAACCAAACCAUUUUGUAUCACAAUUUUUUUUGAAAAUAUUCAGAUGUUUAAAAUAUAAUUCUAUUGUUUUUAAAAGCACAAAGAUAUCAUUAAUAUAUACAAUUAUAAAAUACAUAUAGGCAAUCAAUAUAUCAUUCAUGAUUUUUUGAAAUUCAGAAGGAGCAUUUUUUAAACCAAAUGACAUAACAUUCCAUUCAUAUUAUCCAAAAGGGACGUUAAAGGCACUUCUAUAUGUAUACCUUUUAUCAAUUUGAAUUUGCCAAUAACCAGAUUUUUGAUCAAAUUUUGAAAAUAUAUUGGCAUCAUAUAAUGUAGAUAGUAUGUCUUUUUUAUUAGGUACUGGAUACCUAAUCCAUUUUAAAACUUUAUUCAGAGGUUUAUAAUUAAUUACCAAUCUUGGCGUACCUCGUUCUUUUUCAACAACAUUAUUGACAUAGAAAGCAGUACAAGACCAAGGGAAUUAAUAAAGUUGUUAAGAAAAAUUUAAAAUAUUAUGAUUCUAUUAUUGAUAUGAUGCCCUAUUCUCUAACUGAAGUUAAUAGACGUCUUGCCAUCAGUCAAACUCCUGGUACAUAUACGUCUUUUAACGAUUUAAAAAUAGAAGUUGAAAACCAGAAAAAAGAGAUUAUUUCUUUAAGACAAAUCAAAUAAUUUUAGAUCAUAGAAUUUCAAAAAUUGAAGAGAAUAUUUUCCAAAAUGACAUUGUUUCCAGUUCUAAAGGAAAAGAAAAGGUUUCUGAAAAUUCUGAAAAUGAUAUUAUUCGUGAUAUGGAUGUAAAAAAUGAUUAUUUUUUGGGUAUGAUGUAAAUAGUUAUUGCCCAUAAAUGGUAAAUAAAUUGUACUAUCUUGAUUAAUAACGAAUUUUUUGUAACUAAUAUGGCUAUGAUUGAUAGUGGUGCUGAUGUUAGCUGCAUUCAAUAAGGAUUAAUUACAACCAGAUAUUUUGAAAAAACAACGCAUAUUGUUAGAUCUACCUCUGGUCAUUCUCUGGAUAUUAACUAUAAAUUGCCACAUGUGUAUAUUUGUAGAAAUAAGGUUUGCAUUCCACAUUUCUUUUUUCUAGUCAACAACUUUUGUAUUUCACUCUCUUCUCUGCCUAUUUCUUGCUUCUUCUUUACUUUGCUUGUAUUUUAUUUGAAUAAUAAUUUUUUUUUCUAAAAACUUGUUGGUUUAUAAUUAAUUAUGUUGAUUUUUGUAUCCUCUGAUUAAUUAGGAAAGACUUAUUUAAUUUAAGAUAUCCUCUAAUUAAUCAGGAAAGUUCUUGUUUAACUUUGGAGAAACAUUUCACAUUACAAAAAUAAUUUCUCAGGACAGUGUCUUGCUCGACUCAAAUAUUUUUAUAUAUAGUAUACUUAUAUAUUUAAUACAAUAUUAUAAUAAUAAUAAUUAGUUAAUUUUUUAUACUAUUAAGUUAUUAGUAUAUUGUUAAAUCAUUACGUUGCUAAAAUUAAAUAUUAUUAUUAUUGUUAUAUUCAACAUCGUUUUCCAACAAUCCAAGAGACUGACAAGUAAUACUAAUAUUCUGAAACUAAUACCGAUGCUAUCCCUACUACUUUUGUUUAACUUGUUUACCCAUAUGCUAAAUCAUUUAUUGAUGUAUCAAAUAUUGAAAUUUUUGCUAAUGAAAAUUUUUAAAGAUGGCAAGUACGUGUUUUCUCACUACUCGAUGUUCAUGGGGCGGCACAUACUUUGCUAUAUCCACUACGAGGUAUAGAAAUCGAUAAUAAAAUUUUGAUAUCAUGGCAAUACGCUGAUAAGGUAUGUCGCCAUACUAUAUUACAAACUAUUUCUAAUGAACUAUUAGAUGUAUAUUGUAGUUGCAAGGAAGCAAAAUUAAUUUGGAAAGCCUUAAUUAAAAACUUCACUAUUGAAGAUGCUACCAAAAAAAGUUUGUAGUUUGAAGAAAUUAUAACUGGAAGAUGAGUGAUAUGAAGGAGAUGAAAAUUCAAAUCAACCAAUAUCAAACAUUGCUUUAUGAUCUAAAAGCCAAACAAAUCUCUCUACCAAAAAAUUUUACGGUAGGAGUGUUGAUUAAAAAAUUACCUGACUCAUAAAAUGACUAUAAAAAUAGCCUAAAGCAUAAGGAAAUAAAUUUCACUAUUGUGGAGAUAAUGUGAAACGCCCCAAACCUUGGCCCUUGUAAAUUUCUCGAGUCUUGAACUUUCUGUUCAUCAUACAACUCACACCACAAGUCGUAUGGUGUGGUGAUGGGUUUAUGGAACCUAGUCGUAUGUUGGUUAAUGUGUUUCUGGCUAAGUUUCUAUCCUAGAUAAGAUAGACUCCAUACGAGUCAUCUGUUGAUGUGAUGAGAGGGUUGAGUUCAAUCUUAUGUUGUUAGUGUCUAGCCCUUAAUGUUCUGCCUAGAAUACGACUUAAUGGUACUAGUUGUGUGGUAUGGUGAUGGGUUGGGCAAAGCCGUAUGUUGGAUAAAUGUAGUGUCCAACUUUCUGACUAAGUGACGACUUGAGGAUACCAUUUGUAUGUUAUGCUGAUGAGUUGGAAGGUCCACUAGUACCCACGUGCGAGUUUUCUAAAGCUUUUAAGUUAGGAGUACUUUGGACAUUUCCCACCUCAAAUUCCUUAAGACCCCACGUCUUAUAACAUAAAUUGGGCAUUCAUUCUACACUUAGCAAGGUUAGAACACUCUCUAAACUCUCUCAAAUAGAUUAGUUUAGGGUUUCAUCAAACUAUCCAAUUAAGGUUAUCAAGGGUGGUUUUUCUCUGUUUUUCUUGGUGUCUAAAGCAUAUUAAUCUUCCUAUAUUGUAAGUUAACAAAAAACUCAUGUUUUAUUGUAUGGUGUUUAUGGUAUUAUUGUGGAUUUAUUUUAGUUUUGAAAAGAUAUUGGGGUUUUUUUGGCUAUUCAUGGUUGGAUAAUGUUUUUCCAUACUUUUUUGUGGGUUUUAAUGUUAUAAUUAUGGUUUGAACAUGUGGUUAUAUGAGAAUGGUGACGUUGAUGCUUGGUUUUUGGUUUGGAAACUAUAUGCCUUUAACAUGUUUGUUAAAAUGUCAAUGAGUGGUUUUUGUCACAUAGUUUGACUUUUCUUGAAAUCUUUGCAUUGCAUGGUAUGGUAAUGGAACCUAAAUUGGUUUGGUUUAUUUUAAAUGGCUUAAAAAGGCCUUGCUGGCCAUGGUUUUGGUUUAAUUGGAAAUCUUGUGAGGUACAUGGGAAUCCCCUAAGUUUUGGCUAGUGACAUUACUUGCAAGCUAUAGUCGGUAUGACGAUACCACUUUAUAAUGCCUUGAUAAUGGACUCCUUGAAUUGGUGGUUUGGCUAUGUGCUGAAUGUUUUAAUUGGGCAAUAAUGGUAGAUUGUGAUUGCUAACCGUGAAGGAGUGAGUUCAAUGGACGGAGACUAGAAACUCAUAUUUGUUGACAUGAGGGUUGGUCUUGGUGACCAUAUGCUUGUGGGGUACACGGGAAUCAUCCAAGUUUAUGCUUGUAUAUAUUUAUCAUGAAGGGUGAAGGGUACACGAGAAUCCCUAACCCCUAUGAUAUCUCCGAUUCAUGCGUCUACACGCAUUGGGGCCCGUUCAGGGGGUAACACUGGACCUAUAUAGCCCAUGGGUGGAUUAUGGUGGUAAAGCAACACAACCCACUUUAAGGUUUUAAAUGCAUGCUAAACCCGAUUUAUUAUCCCAACAUGAUAUAUAUAUAUAUAUAUAUAUGUAUGUAUGUAUGUAUGUAUACAUAUGAGGCGCUAUAUCCCCACACGAUGUAGGAACCGACCAUGCUAACAUUCCCCCUGUCAGUGACUUGGAUUUGGGGUUAGCUUUGAGUCAGACUAAAGUGGUGAGAUUUCAUACUCUGGAAGGCUCUAUUUCAUGCUAUGGACUUCUUUUAUUCUUGUUAUUUCUUCAGAUUGGUUUUGGCUAUGGUCGGGGGGAUAUCCCAAUCGAAUGUUAUUGAUUCUAGUUAAAGGCUUUAUCGACCAACUAUGGUUAUGGGUAAUGUUGGUAUUGGUGUCAGUCCUGGUAUUAGUAUUGGCAUUGGGGUUGGCACCGGUUGAAUUUUUUAUUGAGGUUGUUAGAUUAUGAUUAUAAACUUUAUUGAGUUUUUUUAAAUACUUCUUGUUUCAUCUUGUUAUAUGAUCAAAAUUUAUCCAACAUAGGGUGCAGGGUAGUUAUGGUGGGUAUCAAGGGUAGUCUCUUGUCCUGGUUGAACUUGAGAUGCCCGACACGACUAGGCCCGGGUUUGGAUCAUGUUAGAUUGGUAUAGAGCCUUAGGUUUAUGGUCAAUUAGAUAUCUGAUAAAGUCAUGUUGAUUAGAGUGUCAUUUAAGGGUGUGUAGCGCACCACAAUCAUAAGGGAGAGGCUAUAAGACAUUUAGAAAUAUUUUUGUUUCUUAUGUUCUGUUUUCAAGCUGUAGAGUCUAAGGUCCUAAAAUUUUCUCUAGUUCCUAUUUGUUCGCUUUUCAGAUCAUGCCUCCUCGACGAUCUAAAUCUUAUGGAAACACCUCUGUCCUACCUCAAGACUAUAUUGAUGGGACCCAUUCUACUUAUAGGGUCUAGACCCGGUCUAGGGGUCUAGUUCCUGAUUGUCCUCCUGGAGUUCUACCAGUUCCCUCCAGCCCUUUUUGAUUUCCUUAGACUAAUGUGAUGAAUACCGAGUUUCAUUAGUCUAUAUAUAUGUUGGUGCAAUUGGUAUCUUCUCAGGCUGAGUGUGGUGUUUAUGUUACUGCAUUUCCUGAGGCCAUAAGGGCUGGCCAUUUCAUGAGGUUGAAUCCUCCAACCUUUACUGGUGUUAAGGUAGAGGAGGAUCCUCAAGGUUUUCUAGAUGAUAUGGAAAAAAUCUUCUGUGUUAUGCAUGCCACAAAUAUGGAGGGUGUGGAAUUUUCCGCCUAUUAGCUGAAAGAUGUGGCAUACUCGUGGUAUGAGGAAUGGGAUCAGUCAAGGGGUGACGAUGUUGAGUCAUCUCUAUGGGCGAAUUUUUCUAAUUCUUUCUUGGACCUAUUCUUUCCUCAGAAGUUGAAUGAGGAAAAAGUGGAAGAGUUUGUUAAUCUGAAGCAAGGCAAGAUAUUAGUCAAGGAGUACGCCACGAAGUUUCGCCAGUUAUCUCGGUAUACAUUGAAGUUGGUUCCUAGCAUGAAGGAUAAAAUGAGGAAGUUUACUUCUAGUUUGUCCAAAGACUUGAUUUUGGAGAGUAAGGUUGCCUUGUUGAAUAAGGACAUGGAUAUCUCAAGGUUAGUUAUGUACAUGCAUCAGGCUGAGGAAGAGAAAAAGAAGCAGACUAUGAUAGGGGAGAGACAUGGCAAAAAGUUCAAAUUUUUUGAGAAGGGUGGUGGCCAACAACAGAGUGGCAGGGAUGGUCGUAAGUGGCCUAAGAAGAAGUGAGGCAAUUCUGGUUCUUAAUCGACUACUAGUGCUCCCUAUCCAAAGUCGUUGGAUGAUAGACAUUUCUAUAGUAGUGAUAAUGUUAGGGCAUAGGGUGCCCAAUAGCAGGAUUGUGAGGCCAGUCAACUCUAUCAUAUCCUCUCUAUAGAUUUUAUGGUCAUUUGUAUCGGGUUUUCAGUGAUAAGGGAAAGGACAAGUGCUUCAACUAUGGUUAGUUAGGGCACAUACUUAAAAACUGUCCUAUUGGUAAGGUUGUCUCUGGGACAAACAAGAUUUUAGUUGCCUCUUCAUCAGCUCUGGCACUAAAGGGUGCACCAUCUAGUUCCAACAUUGGUCGAAACUGUCUCUAUGCUCUCACUACCCGAUAGGAGUCUAAGGUAUCACCUAAUGUUGUGACUGGUAUGUUGAAACUCUUUUCCCAUGAUUUUUACUGUUUACUUGAUUCGGGGUCCAUUUUUUCUUAUGUGACCCUAUUUUUAGUUGUACAUUUGGUUUUGGUCUCGAGUGUAUUCCAUACCCUUUUCUAUUUCUACCCAGGUGGGUGACUCUGUGGUGCCUAGAAGAGUCUAUAGGGGCUAUGUGGUGUCUUUCGGUGGUCGGAAAACCUUGGUGGAUCUAUUUGAAUCAGACAUGGUUGAUUUUGAUGUCAUAUUGGGGAUGGAUUGGUUACACUCAUGCUAUGCUCCUUUAGACUGUCAAACUCGUAAAGUCAUCUUUAAAUUCCCUAAUGAGAUGGUUAUUAAAUAAAAGGAUCGUUCCCUAGCUCCUAAGUUAAAGUUCAUAUCGUAUCUUAGAUCUCGGAGAUAGAUCUCUAUGGGGUGUCUCUUUCAUCUAGUCCGGGCGAAUGAUUCUAACUCGAAGGGUCCUUCUUUGUAUUUUGUUCCAGUGGUGAAUGAAUUUCCUAAAGUUGUCCCUGAUGACCUUCCUGGUGUCCCUCCAAAUAGGGCGAUUGAUUUUGGGAUUGAUCUUAUUUUAGACACUCGUUCAAUUCUAUUCCUUAGUAUAUAAUGGCUCUGCUUAGUUGAACGAGCUUAAGGAGCAACUAAAGGAUCUCUCAGACAAGAGUUACAUCCGUCUUAAUGUGUCUCCGUGGGGUAUACCGGUAUUAUUCGUGCAUAAGCAGGAUGGUUCCUUUUGAAUGUGCAUUGAUUAUUGUUAGUUGAAUAUGGUGGCAGUACAGAAUAAGUACCCUCUUCUAAAUGAUAGAUGAUUUGUUUGAUCAGUUGCGGGGUGCUAAGUUUUUCUCUAAGAAUGAUCUUCGAUCUAGGUAGCAUUAGUUGAAUAUUAGGGAGGUGGAUCUUCCUAAGACUGUCUUCUGUAUUCCAUAUGAGCAUUUUGAAUUUCUGGUUAUGUCUAUUAAGAUGACCAAUGCCCGAACGACAUUCACAGACUUAACAAAUAAAGUUUUUCGUCAGUUUUUGGAUUUAUUCAUCAUUAUGUUCAUAGAUGAUAUUCUGGUGUACUCUAAGAGCGAGGUAGAUUAUGCCGAUUACCUCCAUACUGUGUUGCAAACCCUUAAAGAGUAGCAAUUAUAUGCCAAUAAUUGAAAUGUGAAUUCUGGUUGGAUGCUGUCAUUUUUUUUGGGUUAUGUCAUUUCUAGUGAAGUGAUUAUGGUGGAUCUACAGAAAGUUACAGUGGUUAAGAAGUGGCCAAGACCUAGGACUCCAACCGAUAUUCAGAGCUUCUUGGGUUUAGCUUCCUACUAUAAGAGGUUUGUGGAAAGUUUUUCGACUAUAGCUAACUUGUUAAAUAAGUUGACUCAGAAGAAAGUGAUGUUCUUGUGGUUUGAUGCUUAUGAGGGUAGUUUUGAAAGGCUGAAGGAUAAUCUAACUUUGGCUUUUAUCUUGACUUUUCCUGAAGGCAUGGAUGGUUUUGUGGUCUACUGUGAUGCAUCUCGUGUGGGUCUUGGUUGCAUCUUGAUACAUCAUGGCAAGGUGAUAACUUAUGCCUCUAGACAAUUUAAGGUGCAUGAGUGGAAUUAUUAGACUCAUGACUUGAAAUUAUUAGCUGUGGUGUUCACAUUGAAAAUAUGGCAGCACUAUUUGUAUGGAGUGUAUGUGGAUAGCUUUUUCGAUCAUAAGAGCCUACAAUAUGUGUUUACUUAAAAAGAGCUUAACCUCAGGCAAAGGAGAUGGAUUGAUCUACUCAAGGAUUAUGAUAUGAGUCUUCACUACCACCCAGGUAAAGCUAAUAUGGUUGUUGAUGCUCUUAGUAGGUUAUCCAUGGGGCGUCUGGCUUAUAUGGAUGAAGGGAAACGGGAGUUGGUGAAAGAUGUUCACCCUUUGGCUAAUCUUGGAGUUUGUCUUUUGGACUUCGAGGAUGGUGAUGUAUUUGUUUAGGAGGUGGUUAAGUCAUCCCUGGGUGAUGAGGUAAAGAAGAAGCAAUUGUUAGAUCCUAUCUUGAUGAAGAUCAAGGGUAAAGUAGCUGAGCAGAAGGUGAUGGCCUUCUAUAUUAGUGGUGAUGUUACCUUGCAGUACUAAAGGAGAUUAUGUGUUCCCAACAUUGAUGGUUUACGAGAGAGGAUCUUGGCUGAGGCGCAUGACUAACUCUUCUCACUUUUUACCAGUGAGGACUAAUUGUUUAGCAGAGGAUAAUGCAAGGUUGUAUCUCCAAGAGAUUGUGAAGUUGCACGGGGUCCCUGUUUCUAGUAUCUCAGAUUGUAGUAAGCAGUUUUCAGUGAACUUUUGGUUAUUAUUUUAGAAAGGUUUAGUGACCAAGGUGAGUCUUAGUACUGCUUUUCACCCGUAAUUGGAUAGGCAAGCGGAAUGGACUAUUCAGACAUUGGAAGAUAUACUUAGAGCUCGCGUGAUUGGUUAUGGCAGUAGUUGGGUUGAGCAUUUACCUCUUAUAGAGUUUGCGUAUAAUAAUAGCUACCACUCUAGAAUUGGAAUGGCUUCGUUUAAGGCUUUGUAUUAUAGGAGGUGUAUAUCUUCUAUUGGGUGGUUUGACGUUGGAGAGGCGGAGAUGUUUGGCCCGGAUUUGGUUCACCAAGCCAUGGAGAAGGUGAAGGUUGUUCGGGAUAUGCUUAGAGCCACCCAAAGUCAGAAAAAGUCCUAUACAGAUGUGAGGCAUAAGAAGUUAGAGUUUGAGAUUACGGAUAAAUUGUUCUUAAAGGUAUAUCCCAUGAAGGAAGUGAUGCGAUUUAGGAAGAAUUGGAAGCUCAGUUGUAAUACCCUGAUCGUUCCUUAAGCCUGAAUCCGUCUUUUGAAGUGAAUAUGGAUAACUUCCAAGGUGAAUGAUGUUUAAACCGUGUUGUAUUUCUCAAUUUCUACUUUCUAUCACGUGGAGAUUUGAAUAAGCUUUUCGUCGAUACCAAAUUCACCCAAAUUCGACCCUCGGGUAAAGAGUUAGAUCGAUUUUAGUGAGACAGCGUGCCACCUGGCACUUUAGCGUGUCGCAGAGCCAGCCAAAAUGGCAAUUGUCAUUUUCUAGUAAUUCUCCGCGAUAUUGGCGCAUCGUGUCAAGGCUUAAUAUUAGGAUUGUCAAAUUCCAGUGCACUAACACAAUUCUACCGCAUUGCGGUGCCCUUCCAGGUCACGACCAAGGUGACAACGCGAUUUCACCGCGUCGCGCCAUUGAGCAGUUUCCCAAUUGUCAAAAUCCAGUGAAGGUCCACAAUCAUGGAGCGUCGCACCAAGGACAAAACUCGGGCUCCAGUUUUAGAAUUUUCUCAAGGGUAUUUUGGUCAUUUCUGCCCAUUUUGGCCUAUAUAUAUAUCCAAGUAGAGAAGAGCAAUUCAUUUUCUCUCCAAUCUCUUCCAAGAAAUAUCUAGAGCUAGAGUUUUUCUCCUCCAAUUCCAAAUCCAAAUCUUCUCCAAGAAAAUUUAAGAAUCUUCUAUAUAUUUCACCGAGUUGUUCAAGAAUCAAGUUCUCUAAGUCAAAGGUAUCAAGAAACUUAGCUCAAAAGUGUGAAGAAGAGUUUCCAAUCAAGUCUUUUCGUCUUAAAAUUAUAAUCCAAGGUAUGUGGGGCUUGAACAAGAAUAUCGUUUUAUUCUUGUGCCCGAAGAAUUGAUUUUUUUUUACUAUUGGAAUUUCAUAAUCCUUGCAAGUGGGUUUACACCCAAAUUUCUUUAUUUAUGAUUUAUGAGAUUUGAGUUGAUUAAGUUUGAUAUUUAUGAUUAUUUUUCCAUCAUAUUUCUUAAAUUGAGAAUUUAUGCCAUGAAUUGUAUCUUGUUAGUAUGUAUUGAUGAUUUCUAAGUGAUUUAAGAUAAGUGUCAUGAGUUAUGCUUUUCCAUGAGAAGAUUGAGUACUGAAUAUAUAUCGAUAUUAAGCUUGAGGGUUAAGAAUGAGUCCUAUGAUGUUUUCUUGAAGAUUUUGAUACUUGAUAUGAUUUGAUAAGUAAGUCUACUUGAUGUUGAGAAAGACUGUUUGAGUUUGAGUCGAGUUAGGAAUCCACAAGUUGUAUAUGAUUUACAGAUGAGAUAUAUUUAUGAUUUGGUCCUCAUGAUAGACCCUUGAGUUGAUUAAGGUGGAUUUCCUAAUGCGUUUUGAGUUGAGUAUGGGAGGAGUAUUUAGCACCGAGUGGGAAGUGUGGGUUCAACGUAUCCUACUUCUCCAGAACUAUAUACUGCUGUAGGAUUGAUAUUUGAGGGCCAAAGAGCUGAGUUUGUGAUCACAGAGAUGAGUUUGAGGUUAUACUCCCUGGAAAGAGCAUAACUCUUCCGCCAAUGUAGGGUUCCUUCCUUAGGAGGGCAAAACAUUGGACUCCAUGUGGCUCACAUGGUUUAUGUCGGUUAUAAGAAACUCCCAAGUCCAUAAUAGUCUAAGUUUCUUGAGUUACCAAGUCAUUCUAAGUCAUGAGUUAAAGAGUUUGAGUUGAGUCCAAUGAUUUAUGAGAUUUGUGAAGCAUGUGUUAUUAUCGAUGAUUUAUGGAAAUUAUAUUUCAGGAAAUUCAAGCUAAGAGAGUCAUUACUGUCAGCAUGCAUGACUUUAUUUUACAUUUAUGAUAUUGUUUAAAAGUGUUGCAUACACCCCCACAUACUCAGUACAAUCCCAAGUACUGAUUCCCGUACUCUUCUAUCCUCUACAUUUUCUUGUGAUGUAGGUUCAGGUGCUCAGUCUCAG
Molecule: long non-coding RNA, 31499 nt
Filed under: Capsicum annuum
Lineage: Eukaryota; Viridiplantae; Streptophyta; Magnoliopsida; Solanales; Solanaceae
Description: long non-coding RNA (CANN_LNC018586)
Source: RNAcentral